This 303-nucleotide ribosomal RNA is filed under the name Deltaproteobacteria bacterium. RNAcentral's name for it is "bacterial LSU rRNA". It matches the Rfam family "Archaeal large subunit ribosomal RNA", at positions 2624 to 2927 of the family's 2987-position model. Lineage: Bacteria; Pseudomonadati; Myxococcota; Myxococcia. The record is from RNAcentral.
GCAGCAGGACCCAAGGGUGGGGUUGUUCGCCCAUUAAAAGGGAUCGUGAGAUGGGUUUAGACCGUCGUGAGACAGGUUUGUUGCUUGGUGGUAGAAUCGUGUAAGGUGUCUGAUGGAAGAGGUCCUUUAGUACGAGAGGAACGAGGGCUUGGGGCCACUAGUUUACCAGUUGUCUGACAAGGCAAUGCUGGGUAGCCACGCCCUGAUGGAUAAGAGCUGAAAGCAUCUAAGCUCGAAACCACCCCAAAGACGAGACACCUCAGAACACUCGUAAAAGACGAGAUUAAUAGAAUGCGGAUGUAA